RNAcentral lists this ribosomal RNA (774 nucleotides) under uncultured Neocallimastigales. RNAcentral's name for it is "partial large subunit ribosomal RNA". It matches the Rfam family "Eukaryotic large subunit ribosomal RNA", at positions 24 to 633 of the family's 3401-position model. The record is from RNAcentral. Lineage: Eukaryota; Fungi; Neocallimastigomycota; Neocallimastigomycetes; Neocallimastigales.
GUAGUCUCGCACAGAUGCAUAUCAAUAAGCGGAGGAAAAGAAACUAACAAGGAUUCCCCUAGUAACGGCGAGUGAAGCGGGAAGAGCUCAAAUUUGAAAUCUUAAAGGGUUUCCCUUUACGAAUUGUAGUUUAAAGAAGUGUUUUCUGUUGAGGUUUUGGUAAAAGUUCUUUGGAAUAGGACAUCAUAGAGGGUGAGAAUCCCGUAUUUGACCUUUACUUUCAACUUUGUGAUACACUUUCAAAGAGUCGGAUUGUUUGGGAAUGCAGUCCAAAAUGGGUGGUAAAUUUCAUCUAAAGCUAAAUAUUGGCGAGAGACCGAUAGCGAACAAGUACCGUGAGGGAAAGAUGAAAAGAACUUUGAAAAGAGAGUUAAACAGUACGUGAAAUGGUCAAAAGGGAAGCGUUUGACACCAGUGUUGUUUUUCUGAAAAUCAAUUAAAGAACUGUUUAUGCUAAGCUGUUUAGACUUUAUCAGCUAACUGUUUAGUUUUGAGCUUUUCUUUAAUGCACUUUUCAGUUAACAAGUCAACAUCAAUUUCUUUUGCUGUAAAAAAGCUUGAGGAAGGUGGCUUGAGAUUCGUCUUAAGUGUUUAUAGCCUCUUGCCUAUGCAGUCGGAGAGAUUGAGGUCUGCAGCGUAGAUCCUUCGGAGCUAAAUGCAUUUGUGCUAAGUUAUAGCAUUUUAUAGACAACUUGUUGACUAUGAUUUGUCUUGUAGCUUACUCGCUUAUGUUAUUUUACCUACGCUUAGGAUGUUGAAGACUCUACAGAGAUA